RNAcentral lists this ribosomal RNA (373 nucleotides) under uncultured organism. RNAcentral's name for it is "partial 16S ribosomal RNA". It matches the Rfam family "Bacterial small subunit ribosomal RNA", at positions 527 to 896 of the family's 1533-position model. The record is from RNAcentral.
GUAGGUGGCAAGCGUUGUCCGGAAUUAUUGGGCGUAAAGCGCGCGCAGGCGGUUCUUUAAGUCUGAUGUGAAAGCCCACGGCUCAACCGUGGAGGGUCAUUGGAAACUGGAGAACUUGAGUACAGAAGAGGAAAGCGGAAUUCCACGUGUAGCGGUGAAAUGCGUAGAGAUGUGGAGGAACACCAGUGGCGAAGGCGGCUUUCUGGUCUGUAACUGACGCUGAGGCGCGAAAGCGUGGGGAGCAAACAGGAUUAGAUACCCUGGUAGUCCACGCCGUAAACGAUGAGUGCUAAGUGUUAGGGGGGUUUCCGCCCCCCUUAGUGCUGCAGCUAACGCAUGAAGCAUUCCGCCUGGGAGUACGGCCGCAAGGCUG